This 378-nucleotide unclassified non-coding RNA is filed under the name plant metagenome. RNAcentral's name for it is "partial contains 5.8S ribosomal RNA, internal transcribed spacer 2, and large subunit ribosomal RNA". The stretch from base 1 to 105 matches the Rfam family "5.8S ribosomal RNA", at positions 50 to 154 of the family's 154-position model. The record is from RNAcentral.
GAAAUGCGAUAAGUAAUGUGAAUUGCAGAAUUAAGUGAAUCAUCGAAUCUUUGAACGCACCUUGCGCUCCUUGGUAUUCCUUGGAGCAUGCCUGUUUGAGUAUCAUGAAAUCUUCAAAGUAAAUCUUUUGUUAACUCAAUUGGUUUCUACUUUGGUAUUGGAGGUCUUUGCAGCUUCACACCUGCUCCUCUUUGUUCAUUAGCUGGAUCUCAGUGUUAUGCUUGGUUCCACUCGGCGUGAUAAGUUAUCUAUCGCUGAGGACACUGUAAAAGGUGGCCAAGGUAAAUGCAGAUGAACCGCUUCUAAUAGUCCAUUGACUUGGACAAUACUUUUAUGAUCUGAUCUCAAAUCAGGUAGGACUACCCGCUGAACUUAAGC